UUAAUAAACGCGCAUUAAAUGUUAGAAGAUGAUGUCGAAUCCUGAGGGUAGCGACAGUACUUGUCUUGAACACUCAAUACAGUAUAGACACCUUCAACAGAGCUUAGAACUUUGUACUCAUAUUCGUUAAUUCCCGUCACCGUGUGUGUUUCUAACACCUUCCCUGGUCUCUUCUUUCCUAAUGCUCUCCGAGCAUAAGAAAAUGAAAACGGAGGUGUUCCGGUAAAAUGAAAAGAUAUUUCCGCCUGAUCUCCCUCAUGUAUAUUUUCAAUAACAUCUUUUCCAUUGCUAAUUCGAACGGUUGGUAUGUCAUGGACUAUCUGCUCAAUUGGUGGAUUGAUGUAUGAUUUACAGUGGCUACCGUGGUCGGAUAUAGAUUUCAUCGCUACAACGCCAGGUAGCUCUAUGAGCCUUGUCAAAAUAUGACUAUCGCUGGUUGCAUGCUGCGUUACCCCAUUGAAUUCGUACUCCACAUCAAACGGAGGCAAACCUUGCAGAGCAAAAGAAAGUCGAUCUCCCACACAAUAGUACUGUCGAGAUCCCAGUGGAGCCAACGAAGCCAUCUCUACCACACUUACUUUGGCGGCUGGUUGUGUUUUGGUAAUGCUAGCGGCGCAGCCAUUGGCAUCUCUAACCUGUAGCAAGCGAACAACAUGCUUUCCAAGAGUCAGCUGCUCUUGGGGGAACGCAAACUUGUAUACCGAUUCAUGAAUGUCGUUCAAUGUAUACUUACUGACUGACCCCGUUAACUCAUUUUUAAUGCCAAUCACCAAAGAAAAUGGGCUGGCUCCUUGUAACUGGAUAGCUAUCAGCUGUGCAUUAGAUUGAGUGACAUCUGUAUUUAUGCAGAAUGUAUAAAGUUUUUCCACAUUCAUGAAAGAGGCCUUCGGCAAACUAUUAACACGCUGCAAAACAACAGCUUGAUAGGAUUGAUUAUUAACAAUAGUCACAGCAUCAGAAUCACUAUACAAUGAAUCAGAUAACUUAGUAAACUCGUAAUGAUACACGCCAGGAACCGCUGUGUCAGCUUUAACGAGAACAGUGUUUUGAACAGUGGACAAUUCUGACUUUUGUUUUGGAUACGUCUUGCUUUUUUCAUCUACAAGUAUCUUAUCGUGCUUCAAAAGAAAAGGACCCGACCCAGAUAAUUGAACCUCAAAAGCACUACUGUCCCCAGCACAGACAGCGUUUUGUUCGUAAUACCUCGUUUUUCCUUUAACCGAGCUUUCCAAAGAUGGUAUAGAAAGGAAAGGUCUUGGAAGCCAUUCAACUUGAUAUUUUUGCUCAACGUUUUGUAUGGUUCCAGGGCAGGAGCUAUCACUAACGGAUAAAAGAGUAUAGGUACCGGAUUUCCGGACAGUUAAAUAACUGUUUGGGUCAUUCAAAACUUCCUUGUGAUGAGAUACUUUAUUCAACCCCGAUGUGUGACUGUAUUCAACAUACCAUGGUUUUUCUCCAGCCAGCCUCAAAGGAAUUUUCAUCAAAGCUCCCUCAACUGAUUUUAGAGUGUAAGUGUUGUCAGAAGAAUAAAAGGUAGCAGUCGGUCGUUGUCUUCUAACCUUAAUAACCGUAUCCGCUGUAUUCAAAGAGCGCUUGCAUCCAUUAGAGUCUUUUACACUAACCAAAGUAAUUGUGUACUGAGAACCAUGCACGAGCAUAGGAACUUCAAGUAUAUAACGUGGAUCUUUAGACUCAACAACAUGACUCUCUUCUCGUUUGUUAUUACGGAAUAUUUCGUACUCUAGUGUCCAAGGCGCAGAACCAGUAAGAAGAACAGGUAGUGACAUUGUGUCCCCUAUACAAGAGGUUUUCACAACCGUGCUUAGAUCUCCGUUCCUUCGCUCUUCAAAACUUGCAUCGGCUAAGGGGAAAACGGUUUGGUCCUUAUAGAAACUUGAUCCUGAAAGUUCUCUGUAACCAUAAUUUGCAUCCUGUAUCCCAAGAAUGAUGUAUCGAUAUUUACCAGCCUUUUUAGGAGUAAAGUUCAACUGGUAACGAGUGCGGUCUGUUGUUACGUACUGUAUUCGUGAAGCCUCAUUGUCUUUUGUCAUGCGAUAAGCGAUCGUAAAUGGCGGUGUUCCCUCAAGUUCAAGGUCUGCUCGAGCGCCAAUUGAACCAGCACAUUGAUCAGAUAUUUCCUCAAAACUAACAGAUACUUUGGCUUCUGGCGGUGUAACUACUAAACAAGUGUUAGGCUCAAGGACUUCACCUGAACAGUAUUGACUUGAAACGCUGGAAAGAACGUAAAUUCCGGGCUUCUUAACAUUGAUGUUGGCUGAAGAUCUGGGAGAUAUUUGAUAAGUCUUAUGAGACAAAGGUGGUACUGUAAUGUUUUGAGGGUCGAGGCCUAAUUCAUAACGAUCAACGCCAACCUCCAGAGAAUUAUAUUCACUAAAAGAAGAAUAUAGAGACAAUGAUGUUUCUUUGUUAGGAAAAAGGUUUGCUGGUGAUUCAAUCGAGCAUCCACGAAACUGAAUAUCAGGUCUCUGAUGUACAAACACCGAAUACACAUUUUCCGGUAAAGAAUGGGAUUCCCCAUCUGCUUCCGUAUAACCGUGUGCAAAUCUCAGAAGAAAUUGAUCAUUUGAAGGAAAUUGCUGGGAAUUUCCGAGAGCAUCAGUGACCUGCGUUACUGCAUAUAUCCACUGACCAGGAGCUUUUAAUAAUGUGUUUAUCGGUACGAAUAUCUCAGAGCUUCGAGCCCACUGAAUAUCAAUCCCUUUGUAAAAAACAAUGUCCUUAGGAUUACUUGAUAAGACAACAGCAGGAGGAUGAAAAUCAUCAGGAAUAGUAGAAUCAAUUAUGUGUGUAUUAAAGUGUUUUCCGUCCCAGUUGCGAUAAGUAACUUGCAGUGGUGCAACACCUGUAACCUUCAAUUCAGCAUUGUCCGUGUCACCGACACACCUUUCACGUAAACGUCCACCGGAUUGACGGGAAGCGAAUGUUGCUGUAGGACAACUUACUACAACCGCUUCAGAACGAAAAAUUCGUACGUCUAAUUUAGAUUUGUCGACAACAUGCUUUAAUGUAUACAACCCUCGCUUGUUAGUUUUUAAAUAAAUAGUUUGUAAUCGAGGUUCUUUAGGGUUUUUUGAAGAAGACGACAAUAGUUUUCGUAAACUCCUUCCAGAAACUUCAACUAGCGUUUCUUCCUUCGUUUCCAAGUCCACGUGAGAAUAUUGAAUGUAUUUCGGUAUGGUGGAAUUGAAUUGAAUGGCCAAGUCUACGUACUGAUCUUUUCUUAAAGAAUUCAAACAAUAAUUUUCAUGCAAGGGAUUGAUUUUAGCAGUCCCUUCCGGAAGAACUUGAAGGGUGUAUUGACCUAAAAUUCGCGAUGAAUUAUGAAUGACAUUAUUUGGAUUAAUCUUAUGUUCUGAUAUAGAAAGUUCCUUUUUUUUAAAGUAGGGAAGAAGGAUACUGCCAAUAGAUAUCCAUUUUAAACUAGAAAGAGAGCUCAAAAGCAAAUUAAUAGCUGCAAAAAUAGCAAUUUGAAGUAAAGUCGCAGCUGGCUGAAAUGAAAGCCAAGGUAUACGAAAUUUUGGUA
Molecule: non-coding RNA, 3544 nt
Organism: Schizosaccharomyces pombe (fission yeast)
Lineage: Eukaryota; Fungi; Ascomycota; Schizosaccharomycetes; Schizosaccharomycetales; Schizosaccharomycetaceae
Source: the annotation of a GenBank genome assembly